UACGUAGGGUGCGAGCGUUGUCCGGAUUUACUGGGCGUAAAGAGCGCGCAGGCGGUCGUCCAAGUCGCGUGUGAAAGCCCCCGGCUCAACUGGGGAGGGUCACGCGAUACUGGUCGACUCGAAGGCAGGAGAGGGUAGUGGAAUUCCCGGUGUAGUGGUGAAAUGCGUAGAUAUCGGGAGGAACACCAGUGGCGAAGGCGACUACCUGGCCUGUUCUUGACGCUGAGGCGCGAAAGCUAGGGGAGCAAACGGG
Molecule: ribosomal RNA, 253 nt
Filed under: uncultured bacterium
Lineage: Bacteria
Description: partial 16S ribosomal RNA
Rfam family: Bacterial small subunit ribosomal RNA
Source: RNAcentral